This 253-nucleotide ribosomal RNA is filed under the name uncultured bacterium. RNAcentral's name for it is "partial 16S ribosomal RNA". It matches the Rfam family "Bacterial small subunit ribosomal RNA", at positions 524 to 776 of the family's 1533-position model. The record is from RNAcentral.
UACGGAGGGUGCAAGCGUUAUCCGGAUUCACUGGGUUUAAAGGGUGCGUAGGUGGGCAGGUAAGUCAGUGGUGAAAUCUCCGGGCUUAACCCGGAAACUGCCAUUGAUACUAUCUGUCUUGAAUACCGUGGAGGUGAGCGGAAUAUGUCAUGUAGCGGUGAAAUGCUUAGAUAUGACAUAGAACACCAAUUGCGAAAGCAGCUUACUAUGCUAUUAUUGACGCUGAGGCACGAAAGCGUGGGGAUCAAACAGG